Molecule: ribosomal RNA, 492 nt
Filed under: uncultured bacterium
Lineage: Bacteria
Description: partial 16S ribosomal RNA
Rfam family: Bacterial small subunit ribosomal RNA
Source: RNAcentral
GAUGAACGCUAGCUACAGGCUUAACACAUGCAAGUCGAGGGGAAACGACAUCGCAAGCUUGCUUUUGAUGGGCGUCGACCGGCGCACGGGUGAGUAACGCGUAUCCAACCUGCCCAUCACUUGGGGAUAACCUUGCGAAAGUAAGACUAAUACCCAAUGAUAUCUCUAGAAGACAUCUGAAAGAGAUUAAAGAUUUAUCGGUGAUGGAUGGGGAUGCGUCUGAUUAGCUUGUUGGCGGGGUAACGGCCCACCAAGGCAACGAUCAGUAGGGGUUCUGAGAGGAAGGUCCCCCACAUUGGAACUGAGACACGGUCCAAACUCCUACGGGAGGCAGCAGUGAGGAAUAUUGGUCAAGGGGCGAGAGCCUGAACCAGCCAAGUAGCGUGCAGGAAGACGGCCCUAUGGGUUGUAAACUGCUUUUAUAAGGGAAUAAAGUGAGAGUCGUGACUCUUUUUGUAUGUACCUUAUGAAUAAGGACCGGCUAAUUCCGUG